Molecule: ribosomal RNA, 423 nt
Filed under: uncultured bacterium
Lineage: Bacteria
Description: bacterial SSU rRNA
Rfam family: Bacterial small subunit ribosomal RNA
Source: RNAcentral
AAGACCUUGCACUUUUGGAGCGGCCGAUGUCUGAUUAGCUAGUUGGUGGGGUAAUGGCCUACCAAAGCUUCGAUCAGUAGCUGGUCUGAGAGGACGGCCAGCCACACUGGGACUGAGACACGGCCCAGGCUCCUACGGGAGGCAGCAGUGGGGAAUUUUGGACAAUGGGCGCAAGCCUGAUCCAGCCAUGCCGCGUGAGUGAAGAAGGCCUUCGGGUUGUAAAGCUCUUUCAGUCGGGAAGAAAAGGUUGCGACUAAUAAUCGCAAUUCAUGACGGUACCGAAAGAAGAAGCACCGGCUAACUACGUGCCAGCAGCCGCGGUAAUACGUAGGGUGCGAGCGUUAAUCGGAAUUACUGGGCGUAAAGGGUGCGCAGGCGGUUUUGUAAGUCAGAUGUGAAAUCCCCGGGCUUAACCUGGGAACU